GUGAAUCAUCGAAUUUUUGAACGCAAAUUGCACUCUCUUCUGUGAGGGAGCCUGUGUGAGUUUCAGCCUAUAAAAAAUCGACAUCGUUCCUGUUUCGCGGUGGCUUUCGUCUGAACUUGGGUCAUCCUAACUCUUUUUUAUUUAAGCGACUUAAAAUUUUCUUUUGUUUCCAUGAACGUGUCUUUUUUCUAUUUCUGUACACGUUUAAGUUAUAGAUUUUUACUAGACGUAACCAUCCUAUCGG
Molecule: unclassified non-coding RNA, 244 nt
Filed under: Glomus sp.
Lineage: Eukaryota; Fungi; Glomeromycota; Glomeromycetes; Glomerales; Glomeraceae
Description: partial internal transcribed spacer 2
Source: RNAcentral